GUCGAACGAGAGACCUUCGGGUCUCUAGUGGCGAACGGGUGAGUAACACCUUAGGAACCUGCCCGCGCACCGGGAAUACGCUCUGGAAACGGAGAACAAAUCCCGAUGUACAGGAAGGAGGCAUCUUCUUUCUGUGAAACAUCCUUUAGGGGAUGGGGCGCGGAUGGACCUGCGGUGCAUUAGUUGGUUGGCGGGGUAAAGGCCCACCAAGACGAUGAUGCAUAGCCGGCCUGAGAGGGCGGACGGCCACAUUGGGACUGAGACACGGCCCAGACUCCUGCGGGAGGCAGCAGUAGGGAAUUUUCGUCAAUGGGCGCAAGCCUGAACGAGCGAUGCCGCGUGAGUGAAGAAGGCCUUCGGGUCGUAAAGCUCUGUUGCGGGGGAAAAAAGGCAGCAUCAGGAAAUGGGUGCUGACUGAUGGUGCCCCGCCAGAAAGUCACGGCUAACUACGUGCCAGCAGCCGCGGUAAUACGUAGGUGGCGAGCGUUAUCCGGAAUGAUUGGGCGUAAAGGGUGCGCAGGCGGUCCUGCAAGUCUGGAGUGAAACGCAUGAGCUCAACUCAUGCAUGGCUUUGGAAACUGGAGGACUGGAGAGCAGGAGAGGGCGGUGGAACUCCAUGUGUAGCGGUAAAAUGCGUAGAUAUAUGGAAGAACACCAGUGGCGAAGGCGGCCGCCUGGCCUGUUGCUGACGCUGAGGCACGAAAGCGUGGGGAGCAAAUAGGAUUAGAUACCCUAGUAGUCCACGCCGUAAA
RNAcentral lists this ribosomal RNA (752 nucleotides) under uncultured bacterium. RNAcentral's name for it is "bacterial SSU rRNA". It matches the Rfam family "Bacterial small subunit ribosomal RNA", at positions 61 to 806 of the family's 1533-position model. The record is from RNAcentral.